AUCUGAAAUGCUGUGAAAAUAAUGACAUCGAUGUAUGUUUCCCGUUUGAUAUACCUGCUGACGACAAAGAUUUUACCCCUGGAUGCAGAAGUUUUCAAAGGACUGAAAGAUCCCCCGAUAUAACAAAUUAUAGAGAACAGAUCAACGAUGUGACAUCAUACAUUGAUUGCAGCCAUGUAUAUGGUAGUUCUGAUGCACAGUUAGCAACCCUUAGAGAUACUACGGAUUCAUCACUUUUAAAAACUUCUCCUGGAAAUAAUUUACCUGAGAACGUAAAUGGAUCUUGCGUAAAGAUAGACCCAGUAGCUGAUUUUUGCCAAUUAACGGGAGAUUCAAGGACUGACCAGGCACCUAGUCUCCAAUUAAACCAUCUUGUUCUUGUAAGGGAACAUAACAGGAUCGCUAAAUUACUGAAACAAAUCAAUUCAGAAUGGGGAAAUGAUAGAGUUUUCGAAGAAACACGAAGAAUAGUCAUAGCGGAAUUGCAGCACAUAACAUAUAAAGAGUACCUACCUGCCAUUCUAUCUCCACAAACUAUGAAAAAGUACAAGCUUAAACCCCAAAAAAUGGAUUUGAUGACUGUUAUAAUGAUAAAAUUGAUGCCUCUGUAAGGAACGCUUUUGCAGUAGCACCCUUUCGAAUGGGACAUUCCCAAGCGAUGAGGGAGCAGUCAUUGCUUGAAGAUGAUUACAAAACUAUCACUACUGAACUUCUUGCUGACAACUUUAGGGCUCCACAUCUAAUUCAAACAAAUAUGGGCGAAAAUGUUGAAGAUUUCAUACGAUGGUUAACCUUUAAACCAGCUAAUAGAAUUGACAGUUUUGGAGUGAAUGCAAUGCGUAACAAGCUGUUUGGUGGAGAUACAGAUUUAUUGUCCAUUAACAUACAAAGGGGGCGAGAUCAGGGCACACCAAGCUAUAACGACUGGAGGGAAUUUUGUGGACUGGAAAGGCUGAAUUUUAAAAACUUUAAAGUUCCUAACGAUGUUGAAAAUGUCCUCAAAGAAUU
Mytilus californianus (California mussel) is the source of this 1008-nucleotide long non-coding RNA. RefSeq lists it as uncharacterized. Lineage: Eukaryota; Metazoa; Mollusca; Bivalvia; Mytilida; Mytilidae. The transcript has 6 exons. The record is from RefSeq and is a predicted model, not a curated record.